RNAcentral lists this long non-coding RNA (1320 nucleotides) under Homo sapiens (human). RNAcentral describes it as "HSALNT0002520". Lineage: Eukaryota; Metazoa; Chordata; Mammalia; Primates; Hominidae. The record is from RNAcentral.
UGUAAGUCGUCUGAGAUUCUGUGAUAGGAAAACUCCUCCAUCGCCUCCAGAUUCUCAGUAGUCUGUUACACUCACCAAAACCUUAAGGAUUAUGAAGUCACACUGAAUUCCCAGAACAUCAGACCCACCCAUCUCCAAAUAUGACAACAAAAACACAUUCCAGAGCCAAAUAUAAACACAUUUUUAAUUAUCUGCGCCACUGCUCCCUCCCAUUAGUGUGGGAAAUCAAGAAUCUUGAGCCCUUCAGGGGCUGAGGUUGAAUCUGGUACAACAUCUCUGCCUGUAUCUGGUGCCCAGCCUAGAAGCUGGUGUAGAUGAGGGGCCAGGAAAGGGAUGGAGGAUCCUGCAGCAUGGCCUGGGAAUUCAGGACUUCAACGACAAUGAAGAAGAAAUACUGCCAAGAGCUGAGUAUGAUGAGAAGAAUGGCCUGAACUGACCACAGCAGCAGACUCUGGGCUGGCUGGACAGUAAACAAGGGAAGACUGAGUUCUCUCCAUCCCACUCUUUCCAGUGAAGGAGCUGCACUGAAGCUCAGCUCCCCAUAGGACUGAAUACUUUCUCUUCUUGGUAAAGAGGCUACAAUAUCUCCUGAGCACUGAAGUCUCCAAGUACUGGACAGCUGGUAUUCCUAGGAAACUCCUGCAGGAUGCUAGUCCCUUGUAUCCAGUCACUCUGUGCCAAGAGGUCCGUUGUAUCCCCCAUGGAUAAAGUUGCUCUCAAAAUGGCACUUUCUAAAGUGGCAAGAGGGAGGAUCUCUCCACUGGAAUGGCAGACCCACCUUUACCUAUUCAAAGUGGUAUGGAAUUGUUCUAAACUCUGGUGCACAGCAGGCAGAGGCCAGAAGGGCUCUACCUUGCAGGAUCCUCCUAGCCCUGAGUCCCCAGUGCUCACAGGAUGAAGUUUGAGAUCCUUAGCCUGUCUCCCCAGUGCCUCCAUGAUCUGGCCUUGGCUAUUUCUCUGGCUCCCUGCACCCCUCCUUGCCCAUUUACUUAUAAUUCCUGAAUAUGCAUGCUGUUUUAGGUCUCUGAGGUUUUGCACAUGCUUGUCUUCUCGUCUAGAAUGUCUUUCUUCCAUCUUUCUCCUUGAUCCUGUACAGAGGAGAACUUCUAUUCAUCCUUCAAAAUGCCAUUAAAGUAUCACCUCCUCUCUGAAGGCCUCCUGGAUUCUUAUCACCUUUAUUCCAAGAUAUAUAUGAGUACGAGUUAAGAAAAAAUGGAUUCGUUUUAGCUCUUCAUUCUCCUUCCCCACUUCCAGGGAGGAGAGGCCAUUAUUAUUUAUUUCUUAUUAGAAAGACAAGAUGGAAGAAAGGAAGGAAGGAAA